RNAcentral lists this ribosomal RNA (1058 nucleotides) under uncultured Mortierellales. RNAcentral's name for it is "eukaryotic LSU rRNA". The stretch from base 309 to 1058 matches the Rfam family "Eukaryotic large subunit ribosomal RNA", at positions 1 to 624 of the family's 3401-position model. The record is from RNAcentral. Lineage: Eukaryota; Fungi; Mortierellomycota; Mortierellomycetes; Mortierellales.
AUCAUCGAAUCUUUGAACGCACAUUGCGCUCUCUGGUAUUCCGGAGAGCAUGCUUGUUUGAGUAUCAGUAAACACCUCAACUCCUUUAUUGUAGUUGGACUUGAGCUAUCCCAACAGGACUUUUUGUUCCUGGCGGGAGGCUUGAAAUGCAGGUGCAGCUGGACUUUCUUCUGAGCUAUAAGCAUAUUUAUUUAAUCCCUUAACACGGAUUAUUACCUUUUUGCUGCAGCUAACAUAAAGGUUGAAUUUCCAUUGAGCUGACUGAUGCAGGAAUUUGGCAAGGAAUUUUUUUAAUGACUUGUUAAACUCGAUCUCAAAUCAAGUAAGACUACCCGCUGAACUUAAGCAUAUCAAUAAGCGGAGGAAAAGAAACUAACAAGGAUCCCCUUAUAACGGCGAGUGAAGCGGGGUGAGCUCAAAUUUAAAAUCUGGCUGGUUUACUAGUCCGAAUUGUAGUUUAAAAAAGCGUUUUCGAUGGCAGCCUGGGUAUAAAUCCUUUGGAAUAGGGUAUCAUAGAGGGUGAGAAUCCCGUCUUUGACUCAGUGCAUGCCACUAUGUGAUACGUUUUCAAAGAGUCGAGUUGUUUGGGAAUGCAGCUCAAAAUGGGUGGUAAAUUUCAUCUAAGGCUAAAUGUUGGCGAGAGACCGAUAGCGAACAAGUACCGGGAGGGAAAGAUGAAAAGAACUUUGAAAAGAGAGUUAAACAGUGCGUGAAAUUGUUGAAAGGGAAACGUUUGACACCAGUCAUGCGGGUGGGAAAUCAGUCAAUUGCAGUGGGGAGUGGUGAAGGUUCGGACCGCAAGGCCGGCCUGCGUCUCAUCUCUGCUGUAAAUGAUGCACUUUUCCAUUCGCAGGUCAACAUCAGUUUCCUCUGCUGGACAAAACCCCGAGAGAAGGUAGCAGCUUUAGCUGUGUUAUAGCUCUGGGGCGAUACAGUGGAGGGGACUGAGGUUUUCGCAGUGUGUGCUUUCGGGCAAGGCUGACCGGGUGCUAUGGGAUCGUUCAGUGUACAAUGCAUGCAUUUUGCGCUGUGUCUUUUUCAUACUCGCCUGGCUCGGU